Molecule: unclassified non-coding RNA, 1071 nt
Filed under: leaf metagenome
Description: partial contains internal transcribed spacer 1, 5.8S ribosomal RNA, internal transcribed spacer 2, and large subunit ribosomal RNA
Rfam family: Eukaryotic large subunit ribosomal RNA (bases 487-1071)
Source: RNAcentral
UGAGUUUACGCUCUACAACCCUUUGUGAACAUACCUAUAACUGUUGCUUCGGCGGGUAGGGUCUCCGUGACCCUCCCGGCCUCCCGCCCCCGGGCGGGUCGGCGCCCGCCGGAGGAUAACCAAACUCUGAUUUAACGACGUUUCUUCUGAGUGGUACAAGCAAAUAAUCAAAACUUUUAACAACGGAUCUCUUGGUUCUGGCAUCGAUGAAGAACGCAGCGAAAUGCGAUAAGUAAUGUGAAUUGCAGAAUUCAGUGAAUCAUCGAAUCUUUGAACGCACAUUGCGCCCGCCAGCAUUCUGGCGGGCAUGCCUGUUCGAGCGUCAUUUCAACCCUCAAGCUCUGCUUGGUGUUGGGGCCCUACAGCUGAUGUAGGCCCUCAAAGGUAGUGGCGGACCCUCCCGGAGCCUCCUUUGCGUAGUAACUUUACGUCUCGCACUGGGAUCCGGAGGGACUCUUGCCGUAAAACCCCCAAUUUUCCAAAGGUUGACCUCGGAUCAGGUAGGAAUACCCGCUGAACUUAAGCAUAUCAAUAAGCGGAGGAAAAGAAACCAACAGGGAUUGCCUCAGUAACGGCGAGUGAAGCGGCAACAGCUCAAAUUUGAAAUCUGGCCCUAGGCCCGAGUUGUAAUUUGCAGAGGAUGCUUUUGGUGCGGUGCCUUCCAAGUUCCCUAGAACGGGACGCCAGAGAGGGUGAGAGCCCCGUACAGUUGGACACCAAGCCUUUGUAAAGCUCCUUCGACGAGUCGAGUAGUUUGGGAAUGCUGCUCAAAAUGGGAGGUAUAUUUCUUCUAAAGCUAAAUACCGGCCAGAGACCGAUAGCGCACAAGUAGAGUGAUCGAAAGAUGAAAAGCACUUUGAAAAGAGGGUUAAACAGCACGUGAAAUUGUUAAAAGGGAAGCGCUUGUGACCAGACUUGCGUCCGGUGAAUCACCCAGCUCUCGCGGCUGGGGCACUUCGCCGGCUCAGGCCAGCAUCAGCUCGCUGUCGGGGACAAAAGCUUCAGGAACGUAGCUCUCUUCGGGGAGUGUUAUAGCCUGUUGCAUAAUACCCUUCGGCGGGCGAGGUACGC